CCUACGGGUGGCAGCAGUGGGGGAUAUUGCACAAUGGGGGGAACCCUGAUGCAGCGACGCCGCGUGGGUGAAGAAGCGCCUCGGCGCGUAAAGCCCUGUCAGCAGGGAAGAAAAUGACGGUACCUGAAGAAGAAGCGCCGGCUAACUACGUGCCAGCAGCCGCGGGAAUAGGUAGGGGGCAAGCGGUAAUCGGAUUUAUUGGGUGGAAAGGGGGCGCAGACGGCGAUGCAAGGCAGGCGUGAAAGGCGUGGGGCCAACCCCGGGACUGCUGUUGGAACUGCGUGGCUGGAGUGCAGGAGGGGCAGGCGGAAUUCCUGGUGUAGCGGUGAAAUGCGUAGAUAUCAGGAGGAACACCGGUGGCGAAGGCGGCCUGCUGGACUGCAACUGACGUUGAGGCCCGAAAGCGUGGGGAUCGAACAGGAUUAGAUACCCUGGUAGUC
RNAcentral lists this ribosomal RNA (440 nucleotides) under uncultured bacterium. RNAcentral's name for it is "partial 16S ribosomal RNA". It matches the Rfam family "Bacterial small subunit ribosomal RNA", at positions 338 to 795 of the family's 1533-position model. The record is from RNAcentral.